This 130-nucleotide small nucleolar RNA is filed under the name Castor canadensis (American beaver). RNAcentral describes it as "Small nucleolar RNA SNORA51 (ENSCCNG00000023185.1)". It matches the Rfam family "Small nucleolar RNA SNORA51". Rfam says of the family: ACA51 is a member of the H/ACA class of snoRNA that guide the sites of modification of uridines to pseudouridines. Lineage: Eukaryota; Metazoa; Chordata; Mammalia; Rodentia; Castoridae. The record is from Rfam by way of RNAcentral.
UGUGGCCUGGUGCUUACCACAGGCUGUGUUUUUACAGACGGUAUGGAAAGAGGAGGCAAAGCAAACCUACCCCAUAUACACCUCAGCCCAGGCCCUGUGCCUGGUCUGUAUUGUGAAUGGGGAGACCUAG